ACUACGGGAGGCAGCAGUGGGGGAUAUUGCACAAUGGGGGGAACCCUGAUGCAGCGACGCCGCGUGGGUGAAGAAGCGCCUCGGCGCGUAAAGCCCUGUCAGCAGGGAAGAAAAUGACGGUACCUGAAGAAGAAGCCCCGGCUAACUACGUGCCAGCAGCCGCGGUAAUACGUAGGGGGCAAGCGUUAUCCGGAUUUACUGGGUGUAAAGGGGGCGCAGACGGCGGUGCAAGCCAGGAGUGAAAGCCCGGGGCCCAACCCCGGGACUGCGCUUGGAACUGCGUGGCUGGAGUGCAGGAGGGGCAGGCGGAAUUCCUGGUGUAGCGGUGAAAUGCGUAGAUAUCAGGAGGAACACCGGUGGCGAAGGCGGCCUGCUGGACUGCAACUGACGUUGAGGCCCGAAAGCGUGGGGAGCAAACAGGAUUAGAUACCCGAGUAGUC
Molecule: ribosomal RNA, 440 nt
Filed under: uncultured bacterium
Lineage: Bacteria
Description: partial 16S ribosomal RNA
Rfam family: Bacterial small subunit ribosomal RNA
Source: RNAcentral